CUUUGUCAUUCCUUUGCUUUUCUUAGCAAAUGCUCAAUACAGAGCUAUACUUGGACAAAUCCAUCUGCUGAGGAAGGCAAUGAAUGCUUUGGAAAAAAACAAGUGCACACUAUUGCCUCUGGGGGAGCCAAUAAUGCCACAUGAUUCAGUGCUUUAAAAAGGUGGACCUUUUAAAAGAACGUUGCUCUUUUUACAACCAUAAUAUGCAAACGCACACAUCACUGUGCAACCCUGCAACCUCACUCUGGAGACAUGAACACAUGGCCCUCUACUCUAUAAAUAAAGACAUUGUUGAAACAUUAA
Molecule: long non-coding RNA, 303 nt
Organism: Micropterus salmoides (largemouth bass)
Lineage: Eukaryota; Metazoa; Chordata; Actinopteri; Centrarchiformes; Centrarchidae
Exons: 2
Source: RefSeq, a predicted model, not a curated record